RNAcentral lists this ribosomal RNA (825 nucleotides) under Bacillus sp. AV14. Its description in RNAcentral is "bacterial SSU rRNA". It matches the Rfam family "Bacterial small subunit ribosomal RNA", at positions 64 to 870 of the family's 1533-position model. Lineage: Bacteria; Bacillati; Bacillota; Bacilli; Caryophanales; Bacillaceae. The record is from RNAcentral.
GAGCGGAUCUUCUUAGCUUGCUUUUGAGAUCAGCGGCGGACGGGUGAGUAACACGUGGGCAACCUGCCUGUAAGACUGGGAUAACUUCGGGAAACCGGAGCUAAUACCGGAUAAUCCUUUCCCUCACAUGAGGGAAAGCUGAAAGACGGUUUCGGCUGUCACUUACAGAUGGGCCCGCGGCGCAUUAGCUAGUUGGUGAGGUAACGGCUCACCAAGGCAACGAUGCGUAGCCGACCUGAGAGGGUGAUCGGCCACACUGGGACUGAGACACGGCCCAGACUCCUACGGGAGGCAGCAGUAGGGAAUCUUCCGCAAUGGACGAAAGUCUGACGGAGCAACGCCGCGUGAACGAUGAAGGCUUUCGGGUCGUAAAGUUCUGUUGUCAGGGAAGAACAAGUACCGGAGUAACUGCCGGUACCUUGACGGUACCUGACCAGAAAGCCACGGCUAACUACGUGCCAGCAGCCGCGGUAAUACGUAGGUGGCAAGCGUUGUCCGGAAUUAUUGGGCGUAAAGCGCGCGCAGGCGGUUCCUUAAGUCUGAUGUGAAAGCCCCCGGCUCAACCGGGGAGGGUCAUUGGAAACUGGGGAACUUGAGUGCAGAAGAGGAGAGCGGAAUUCCACGUGUAGCGGUGAAAUGCGUAGAGAUGUGGAGGACCCCCAGUGGCUACGCCGCUCUCUGCUCUGUAACUGACUCUGAGGCGCAAACGCGUGUGCAGCGAGCAGGAUUAGAUACCCUGUACUCCAGACCCUACACGAUGAAUGCUGAGGUGUUUAAAGGUUUAACUCCAUGUAACUGCUGCGCGAAGCCUAUUAAGCCAAUUCA